RNAcentral lists this ribosomal RNA (420 nucleotides) under uncultured bacterium. RNAcentral describes it as "bacterial SSU rRNA". It matches the Rfam family "Bacterial small subunit ribosomal RNA", at positions 358 to 770 of the family's 1533-position model. The record is from RNAcentral.
GGAAUAUUGGACAAUGGGGGCAACCCUGAUCCAGCCAUGCCGCGUGUGUGAAGAAGGCUUUCGGGUUGUAAAGCACUUUCAGUGAGGAAGAAGGCCUGUCGGUUAAUACCCGGCAGGGGAGACAUCACUCACAGAAGAAGCACCGACUAACUCCGUGCAAGCAGCCGCGGUAAUACGGAGGGUGCGAGCGUUAAUCGGAAUUACUGGGCGUAAAGCGCGCGUAGGUGGCUUGAUAAGCCGGUUGUGAAAGCCCCGGGCUCAACCUGGGAACGGCAUCCGGAACUGUCAGGCUAGAGUGCAGGAGAGGAAGGUAGAAUUCCCGGUGUGGCGGUGAAAUGCGUAGAGAUCGGGAGGAAUACCAGUGGCGAAGGCGGCCUUCUGGACUGACACCGACACUGAGGUGCGAAAGCGUGGGUAGCA